UGGGGAAUAUUGGACAAUGGGCGCAAGCCUGAUCCAGCCAUGCCGCGUGAGUGAUGAAGGCCCUAGGGUUGUAAAGCUCUUUCACCGGUGAAGAUAAUGACGGUAACCGGAGAAGAAGCCCCGGCUAACUUCGUGCCAGCAGCCGCGGUAAUACGAAGGGGGCUAGCGUUGUUCGGAUUUACUGGGCGUAAAGCGCACGUAGGCGGACUUUUAAGUCAGGGGUGAAAUCCCGGGGCUCAACCCCGGAACUGCCUUUGAUACUGGAAGUCUUGAGUAUGGUAGAGGUGAGUGGAAUUCCGAGUGUAGAGGUGAAAGUCGUAGAUAUUCGGAGGAACACCAGUGGCGAAGGCGGCUCACUGGACCAUUACGGACGCUGAGGUGCGAAAGCGUGGGGAGCAAACAGG
This 404-nucleotide ribosomal RNA is filed under the name Actinomycetes bacterium. RNAcentral's name for it is "Actinobacteria bacterium partial 16S ribosomal RNA". It matches the Rfam family "Bacterial small subunit ribosomal RNA", at positions 355 to 776 of the family's 1533-position model. Lineage: Bacteria; Bacillati; Actinomycetota; Actinomycetes. The record is from RNAcentral.